AUUGAACGCUGGCGGCAUGCCUUACACAUGCAAGUCGAAACGGCAGCGGACCUUCGGGUGCCGGCGAGUGGCGAACGGGUGAGUAAUAUAUCGGAACGUACCUUUCAGUGGGGGAUAACGUAGCGAAAGUUACGCUAAUACCGCAUAUUCUGUGAGCAGGAAAGCAGGGGAUCGCAAGACCUUGCGCUGAUUGAGCGGCCGAUAUCAGAUUAGCUAGUUGGUGAGGUAAAGGCUCACCAAGGCGACGAUCUGUAGCGGGUCUGAGAGGAUGAUCCGCCACACUGGAACUGAGACACGGUCCAGACUCCUACGGGAGGCAGCAGUGGGGAAUUUUGGACAAUGGGCGCAAGCCUGAUCCAGCCAUGCCGCGUGAGUGAAGAAGGCCUUCGGGUUGUAAAGUCUCUUUCGGCCGGGUAAGAAGUACGC
This 426-nucleotide ribosomal RNA is filed under the name uncultured bacterium. Its description in RNAcentral is "bacterial SSU rRNA". It matches the Rfam family "Bacterial small subunit ribosomal RNA", at positions 30 to 455 of the family's 1533-position model. The record is from RNAcentral.